CCUACGGGUGGCAGCAGUCGAGAAUCAUUCACAAUGGGGGAAACCCUGAUGGUGCGACGCCGCGUGGGGGAAUGAAGGUCUUCGGAUUGUAAACCCCUGUCAUGUGGGAGCAAAUUAAAAAGAUAGUACCACAAGAGGACGAGACGGCUAACUCUGUGCCAGCAGCCGCGGUAAUACAGAGGGCGCAAGCGUUGUUCGGAAUCACUGGGCGUAAAGCGUGCGUAGGCUGUUUGGUAAGUCGUGUGUGAAAGGCGCGGGCUCAACCCGCGGACGGCACAUGAUACUGCGAGACUAGAGUAAUGGAGGGGGAACCGGAAUUCUCGGGGUAGCAGUGAAAUGCGUAGAUAUCGGGAGGAACACUCGUGGCGAAGGCGGGUUACUGGACAUUAACUGACGCUGAGGCACGAAGGCCAGGGGAGCGAAAGGGAUUAGAUACCCUAGUAGUC
RNAcentral lists this ribosomal RNA (446 nucleotides) under uncultured bacterium. RNAcentral's name for it is "partial 16S ribosomal RNA". It matches the Rfam family "Bacterial small subunit ribosomal RNA", at positions 338 to 795 of the family's 1533-position model. The record is from RNAcentral.